Molecule: ribosomal RNA, 119 nt
Filed under: Pteropus alecto (black flying fox)
Lineage: Eukaryota; Metazoa; Chordata; Mammalia; Chiroptera; Pteropodidae
Source: RNAcentral
AUCUACAGCCAUGUCACCCUGAACAAGCCCGACCUCAUCUGAUCUCAGAAGCUAAGCAGGGUCAGGCCUGGUUAGUACUUGGAUGGGAGACCACUUAGGAAGACCAGGUGCUGUAGGCA